Molecule: long non-coding RNA, 1223 nt
Organism: Oncorhynchus keta (chum salmon)
Lineage: Eukaryota; Metazoa; Chordata; Actinopteri; Salmoniformes; Salmonidae
Exons: 3
Source: RefSeq, a predicted model, not a curated record
GGGUGUAUGGUUUUAGGGGGGGACUGGAACUGUACAGUAGAUUUUACUGUUGAUCACACUGCUGAAGAACCUCAUCUGCGGUCAGCUACUUGUCUGUCCGGUCUUCGAACUGAGUUUGAGCUUUCUGAUGUGUGGAGAAUGAAGGAAUGCAACCGUUAGGCAGUACACAUGGUUAAAGGUUAAUGAAGGUCGUGUCAGUGCAGCAAGGUUAGACAGGUUGUAUGUAUCUGAUCACUACUGUAGUAGGGUUGGAAGGUUAGACAGGUGGUAUGUAUCUGAUCACUACUGUAGUAGGGUUGGAAGGUUAGACAGGUGGUAUGUAUCUGAUCACUACUGUAGUAGGGUUGGAAGGUUAGACAGGUGGUAUGUAUCUGAUCACUACUGUAGUAGGGUUAGACAGGUGGUAUGUAUCUGAUCACUACUGUAGUAGGGUUGGAAGGUUAGACAGGUUGUAUGUAUCUGAUCACUACUGUAGUAGGGUUGGAAGGUUAGACAGGUGGUAUGUAUCUGAUCACUACUGUAGUAGGGUUGGAAGGUUAGACAGGUGGUAUAUAUCUGAUCACUACUGUAGUAGUGUUGGAAGGUUAGACAGGUGGUAUGUAUCUGAUCACUACUGUAGUAGGGUUGGAAGGUUAGACAGGUGGUAUAUAUCUGAUCACUACUGUAGUAGGGUUGGAAGGUUAGACAGGUUAGACAGGUGAUAUGUAUCUGAUCACUACUGUAGUAGGGUUGGAAGGUUAGACAGGUGGUAUAUAUCUGAUCACUACUGUAGUAGGGUUGGAAGGUUAGACAGGUGGUAUGUAUCUGAUCACUACUGUAGUAGGGUUGGAAGGUUAGACAGGUGGUAUGUAUCUGAUCACUACUGUAGUAGGGUUGGAAGGUUAGACAGGUGGUAUGUAUCUGAUCACUACUGUAGUAGGGUUGGAAGGUUAGACAGGUUGUAUAUAUCUGAUCACUACUGUAGUAGGGUUGGAAGGUUAGACAGGUUAGACAGGUGGUAUGUAUCUGAUCACUACUGUAGUAGGGUUGGAAGGUUAGACAGGUGGUAUGUAUCUGAUCACUACUGUAGUAGGGUUGGAAGGUUAGACAGGUUGUAUGUAUCUGAUCACUACUGUAGUAGGGUUGGAAGGUUAGACAGGUGGUAUAUAUCUGAUCAUUACUGUAGUAGGGUUGGAAGGUUAGACAGGUUGUAUGUAUCUGAUCACUACUGUAGUAGGGUUGGA